AGUGAACGCUGGCGGUAGGCCUAACACAUGCAAGUCGAACGGCAGCACAGUAAGAGCUUGCCCUUACGGGUGGCGAGUGGCGGACGGGUGAGGAAUACAUCGGAAUCUACUUUUUCGUGGGUGACAACGUAGGGAAACUUACGCUAAUACCGCAUACGACCUACGGGUGAAAUCAGUGGAUCUUCGGACCUUGCGCGAUUGAAUGAGCCGAUGCCGCAUUACCUAGUUGGCGGGGUAAAGGCCCACCACGGCCACGAUCCGUAACUGGGCUGAGAGGAUGGUCCGCCCCACUUGAACUUGACCACGGUCCAGAAUCCUACGGGAGGCAGGAGUGGGGAAUAUUGGACAAUGGGCGCAAACCUGAUCCAGCCAUCCCGCGUGGGUGAAGAAAGCCUUAGGGUUGUAAAGCCCUUUUGUUGAGAAAAAAACGAAGCAGGUUAAUACCACGCUGUUCUGACGGUACCCAAAGAAUAAGCACCGGCUAACUUCGUG
Molecule: ribosomal RNA, 492 nt
Filed under: uncultured bacterium
Lineage: Bacteria
Description: partial 16S ribosomal RNA
Rfam family: Bacterial small subunit ribosomal RNA
Source: RNAcentral